UAGCUGUGAAAAUGUUUUCACUUAAAUUUGGCUCCCACUGAUAUAAGUGCCUCUUUGUGUCAAUUUAGUAACACCACCUCCCCAAGCAGCGUAGAGUCACAGUCAACGUAAUUAGGUUGACACAGUGUCAGUGUAGAGACUUUUGUUGCUUACGUCAACUGUUACUGGCUUUCAGGAGCCAUCCCACAAUUCCCCACACUGACAAUACAAUCGAUACAAAUGCAUCUGUUGAGGACAUGUACCACUGACACAAGAAGCCAAGCGUGGACAUACACAUUCAAUUUAGUGACUGCAGUGGCUGUAUGCUGACGUAAGUUAGGGCGACAUAAUUUUGUAGUAUAGACAUGGCCCAAAUCACUUUUUGAAAAGUGAGACUUAUGUUCCUAAGGCACUUUUGAAAAUAUUACCCCUAGCAUAGACAAAAACGGUGGUAUUUAAAAUCUUAUCAGCUGAUUGUGGUCAACUUAGGGACUGUCCUGGGUUCUAAGUGGUGUUUAAAAAUGUGUUACUUAAUAUAUUGGAGAGAUCUUGUCUCUCUAUUUUCCUGGGAUUGACAUGGCUACAACUACACUGCAUACUUAUUUAACACCUAUCAGAUACCAUGUUUGCUAGUCAAGAUCAAUGGCCUUGUCUAUUCUUCUUUCAUAUGUGCAGGUUCAGCCUGAGCUCACAUUCCUUCCUCAUGUAUUCCUUUCUAUAAUCGUUGCUUCAGGACUUAGAGUUUCAGCAAAAACUGCAGAACCUCUUCCCAUUUAAUAUUUCUCUGUUAAAUAUCAAUAUCAAGCUUAGAGCUUCAAUUGUGCUCUGUUUGAUUCCCCUCCUGGUCUUAGCACCACUGCACCUUGUUACCCCAAAAUCUUUGUUGUAGAAUAAUAAGGAGGUGACAUAUAACAGGUUUGACUCCUACCUGCAUUUAUCAACUGGGAGAGUUAGAAAUCUGUGUGCCUCCUGCCCGUGUUGCAUUGAAAUAAAGGAUAGAGAGAAUAUAACCUUAAACAGAAAGAAGAUUUAUUAAGGGAUAGUUACAACUGGGGUGGGGGCGGGGAAGAAUCCACUAAGGGAAUCACUACAAAUACCAAGAAUAGAUUCCAGCAAGGGGCAUAGAGCCUAGACCUUUAACCCAUCCCUUGGUUAAACUAUUAAGUGCCUGAAAAACAAUUACUGUCUCUCUUUCACUGCAGAUGGAGGUCACCGGCAACUGAUGGACCGUCUCAGACUCUCAGGAACAUCAGAGGAUCUGGCUCUCUGCCGCCGAAGCAAGAGAUCAACAGAUCUAGGCUGAUAGCAAAGUCUUCACUGGAUCCUUUGAUGGAAUACAGGAAUCAGAUAUCAGGCAUCAUUAGGGAAUUAUUCACAAACAUUCCCAAAGGAAUCUGGGGAUGAAUCCUUUCCAGUAUGGCAUCCCUUAAAAUGAAGGUCACCAGCAAGUGAUGGACUGUUUCAGAGUCUCAGGAACAUCAGAGGAUCUGGCUCUCUACCACCGAAGCAGGAGAUCAACAGAUCUAGGCUGAUAGCAAAGUCUACAGGAAUCAGAUAUCAGGUGGAAGAUCCCAGUUAAUUUGAAGCCCAAUCCUGCAGCCCUAACACCGAUGAGAAAUGUUCAUUCACAUAAGCAGUCCCAUUGAAGUAACAGGAAUAAGGAUUAAAUGCUUGAGAGUUAUGGUAAACUAUUAAGUUACUUGAAUAAAAACCAUUGAGAUCUUUUAUAUUUUAAAAGUUUGGACUAAAUAAAAAAACGUUUUAAUAAAUGUAAGGAAACGAAUAUUUUCUGCAGAGGAGAACAAUAGAGGGCCCUUCCUGUCUUGUUCUGUGUGCUACCUUUUGAGUUUGGAAGUUUGCUUAUGUUCCAAAAUACUUGUGCUCUGAGAAUAGUAACACUCAACAGUUAUUUCUAGUGUGGACUAUAAUAGAGAAUAAUUCAAGGCACCCACAAUCUAUUUCAUGAUGCAGGCAUUUCUCUUUCACUUAUGCAGUUCCCAGACUGUGGUGCCAUUCUGUUCACCAUUCUUAAAUAAACACUACCCUGGAGAUUUCCUAAAUAGUUCUAAGUUGUGCCUGGGGAAACAUUAGAAACACAUACUAAAAGCAUGAAUAUGCUGUUGAUGAAACUAUUUUGAAUGUCCAUUUUUGUACACAUACUGGCCUGGAAGAUCAUGUAAAGCAAGAGUGUUUAAGAUAAACUUGUCAGUAAUGAUACUAUAAUAGCAAAGCUUCCUAAAUAUUUAUUCCUGAUAAGGGUUUCACAAGCCCUCCUUGGCUUGCGAGUUCAUAAAUUUUUAACUUAAGAAUUGUUUGAGAAGGAAUAAUUAAUUACCAUCAAUUUUGCAAUCUGCU
Long non-coding RNA from Trachemys scripta elegans, 2334 nucleotides. RefSeq lists it as uncharacterized. The record is from RefSeq and is a predicted model, not a curated record. The transcript is spliced from 4 exons. Lineage: Eukaryota; Metazoa; Chordata; Testudines; Emydidae.